CCCCGGGACCGCCGAGGCUGCAGUCGAGCGAGAUCUUCGGAUCUAGCGGCGGACGGGUGAGUAACGCGUGGGAACGUGCCCUUCUCUACGGAAUAGUCCCGGGAAACUGGGUUUAAUACCGUAUACGCCCUUCGGGGGAAAGAUUUAUCGGAGAAGGAUCGGCCCGCGUUGGAUUAGGUAGUUGGUGGGGUAAUGGCCUACCAAGCCGACGAUCCAUAGCUGGUUUGAGAGGAUGAUCAGCCACACUGGGACUGAGACACGGCCCAGACUCCUACGGGAGGCAGCAGUGGGGAAUCUUAGACAAUGGGCGCAAGCCUGAUCUAGCCAUGCCGCGUGAGUGACGAAGGCCCUAGGGUCGUAAAGCUCUUUCACCAGGGAUGAUAAUGACAGUACCUGGAGAAGAAACCCCGGCUAACUCCGUGCCAGCAGCCGCGGUAAUACGGAGGGGGUUAGCGUUGUUCGGAAUUACUGGGCGUAAAGCGCGCGUAGGCGGGCUGUUAAGUCGGGGGUGAAAUCCCGGGGCUCAACCCCGGAACUGCCCUCGAUACUGGCAGCCUAGA
RNAcentral lists this ribosomal RNA (560 nucleotides) under Roseicyclus sp. Its description in RNAcentral is "bacterial SSU rRNA". It matches the Rfam family "Bacterial small subunit ribosomal RNA", at positions 40 to 645 of the family's 1533-position model. The record is from RNAcentral. Lineage: Bacteria; Pseudomonadati; Pseudomonadota; Alphaproteobacteria; Rhodobacterales; Roseobacteraceae.